RNAcentral lists this small RNA (33 nucleotides) under Bombyx mori (domestic silkworm). Its description in RNAcentral is "ovarian small RNA-11152". Lineage: Eukaryota; Metazoa; Arthropoda; Insecta; Lepidoptera; Bombycidae. The record is from RNAcentral.
ACAUCCAGGACCACUCCUGUGUGAGGGCCGGCU